GUCUAUCCGAGGCGCGAUUAUUGCUAGUUGAAAACUUUACCCAAUACCCCGCCUGGACGACUUGAAAAAUAGUCGGCUAUGGCGAUUUUUGACAGUCUCUCAGGAGA
This is a small nuclear RNA of 107 nucleotides. Its record names the gene U4. It matches the Rfam family "U4 spliceosomal RNA". From Rfam's summary of the family: U4 small nuclear RNA (U4 snRNA) is a component of the major U2-dependent spliceosome. The structure of U4 snRNA from yeast and human has been reported. The record is from Ensembl.